Molecule: ribosomal RNA, 497 nt
Filed under: uncultured bacterium
Lineage: Bacteria
Description: partial 16S ribosomal RNA
Rfam family: Bacterial small subunit ribosomal RNA
Source: RNAcentral
GAUGAACGCUGGCGGCGUGCCUAAUACAUGCAAGUCGAGCGAACAGACGAGGAGCUUGCUCCUCUGACGUUAGCGGCGGACGGGUGAGUAACACGUGGAUAACCUACCUAUAAGACUGGGAUAACUUCGGGAAACCGGAGCUAAUACCGGAUAAUAUAUUGAACCGCAUGGUUCAAUAGUGAAAGACGGUUUUGCUGUCACUUAAAGAUGGAUCCGCGCCGCAUUAGCUAGUUGGUAAGGUAACUGUUUACCAAGGCGACGAUGCGUAGCCGACCUGAGAGGCGGUACGGCCACACUGGAACUGGGACACGGUCCGGACUCCUAGGGGAGGCAGCAGUAGGGAAUCUUCCGCAAUGGGCGAAAGCCUGACGGAGCAACGCCGCGUGAGUGAUAAAGGUCUUCGGAUCGUAAAACUCUGUUAUUAGGGAAGAACAAAUGUGUAAGUAACUAUGCACGUCUUGACGGUACCUAAUCAGAAAGCCACGGCUAACUACGUG